UACGUAGGUCCCGAGCGUUAUCCGGAAUUAUUGGGCGUAAAGAGCUCGUAGGCGGUUUUUUAAGUCUGAUGUGAAAGCUAGUGGCCUAACCACUAAAUUGCAUUGGAUACUGAAAAACUAGAAUACUGGAGAGGUAUGUGGAAUUCCAUGUGUAGAGGUGGAAUGCGUAGAUAUUGGGAAGAACACCAGUGGCGAAAGCGACUUUCUGGCUAUUUUCUGACGCUGAGGAGCGAAAGCGUGGGUAGCGAAGAGG
This 253-nucleotide ribosomal RNA is filed under the name uncultured bacterium. Its description in RNAcentral is "partial 16S ribosomal RNA". It matches the Rfam family "Bacterial small subunit ribosomal RNA", at positions 524 to 776 of the family's 1533-position model. The record is from RNAcentral.